Sarcophilus harrisii (Tasmanian devil) is the source of this 4631-nucleotide long non-coding RNA. RefSeq lists it as uncharacterized. Lineage: Eukaryota; Metazoa; Chordata; Mammalia; Dasyuromorphia; Dasyuridae. The transcript is spliced from 4 exons. The record is from RefSeq and is a predicted model, not a curated record.
GCCUCAUGUACUUGGGACCUCAGUGCAUCAACUCAAACCUCAGCCCAUUAUAAUAGAUGUGAACAGGUUCUGUAGACCAAUUGCCAAUAGUCAAAAAGCAUAAAUGAUUCAUAGAAUAUGGAAUGGGUAGAAUUUCAAACACUUCUACUACAAUAGUAAUUACAAUACUUUAAACUAAACAUUUUGAUCUCUGAUAAAGAAUUUGAAUGAUUUCUCUGAUGAAGACUGGCAUUUAAUUUUAAUGAAACAAUUCAGACUAAUUCUAACAUGUGAAGAGAUUAUUAAUAAAAAUGUAAAUUUACUUUUACUUUAAAUUAAUAUUAAAGUCAUUAGACAAUGAAAAAGUCAUUGUAACACUAGCAGGAUGUGAACAAACAAUAACUCUCUUAGCAUAGAGAAUGGAGAAUUCAUUGAUUAAGGAUAAGAUCAGGAAGCUCUUUUAUGUUGUGAUUGACCAUUGUAUUCUAAAAUGCCUUAAAGAUUUGUGAAUUUUUUGGUGUGGAUAUUUUCUUGAACUUUACUUUACUUUACUUGAACUUUACUCGAAAAUUACGCUCUGUGCUUUCUCAGACAGUCUCCAUGAGUUGUAGUGGUUAAGAUAUUUCACCUUAUAAUCACUUGGGUGAUCUAACUCUUCACACAUCUAAGCUCUGCGCAUUUCCAAUGGUUUCUGCAUCCAGUGGUGGAAUAUGAAAUUUGCUUGCAUAUCUCUCAAGAUCCAGGAUCACCUUCAAACUACAAGGAAGAAUUCCAGGAAAAUUUUGAUGGAAGCAUCUAAUUAUACUUGAAGUAAAAUAAUAUGUAAGAGAACAAAGGCUUCUGUACUUAAUUUUGGAAAGAAGAUUGUAAAAGUUUUUAUUUUAAAUGAGGAAUAGAUUUUUAAAUGGAUAUGAACCAUUGAAAAUAAAUUGUAAUUCUUCAACUUUGCCUUUCAAACAGGAUCUUAAUCCUCUGUUUCAACAUUUUGCAACAGAGUCAAGGGACCUCUGAAAUAUGCUUCUUCUUUUCCUUUAUUGUCCUUGGAAUUGCAGAACCUUCAAAAAGUGAUAAAUUUGUUUUUUGGGAGUAAUUUGGACAGCAGAAACACUGAGCCAACCUAGAUGUGACAUUCAGUAUUGAUUAUCUGCUUACAUUGCUUUACAUCUUUGGAAUAAAUUUAGGACCUGGCUGGCAACAUUCUGAAGAGGCUUCACCAAUGCCAACCCCAAUGAGAAUAGAUGUAAAGAGAAUCUUUGGACCAUGUCAAAUCUUGAAGGAACAACAUCAGAACCAGUGGCUGCAGUUGUUGCUUCUACUGCAGCAUUCAAGCCUCCUGAAAUCCCCACCAAGUGCAUUACAAUCUACCUGCAUCCUACCACUUACAAGCUAUGUAACCUGGAAAGGACUCUAAUCCUCUCAUGCUUUCUAAGUCAAAUGGAAUGAAAUCAAAAGACCAUUAAGAAACAAGGUAAGACAAAACUGAUGAUUUAGCUAAAAUUAAGGGUGUAGCUUUCUCUCUAUUUCCUUCUUAUUUUAAAAAGAAUUUCAUGCUACAAAGUAACAUUUGCAAAAUUAACCAGACCCUGCAGUACAGCAUAUCAUGAAUAUCUCAUCACAGCCUUAUUAUCUAGACUUAGAAGUAUGUUCAUAUUUAGCAAGGCUAGAUGGUAGGGUUUUUUUCUCUCUUUCUUUUUGGCUGCUUUAUUUGAAAAUGUUAGACAUCCUUUUAUAAAAUUUCCAAAUAAGCAUCAAAUUUAUAGUCACAUCGAAAAAUUGUCAUACCAAGAAAUAAUUUGCAUAAUUAAUAGUAAUAUCCAUAACGAUCUAACAUUAAAAACUACAUCUAUUGUUCUCACUAUGAGAUUCUUGAUGUAAGAAAAAACCAGAGUUGAAGCCAUCUUUUUCCAUGACCUGAUCAGAAAUCACUAUGUCUCAUGAAUUUAGCUUUUUGGUAAUACCAUACUUCAUUUAGUCAAACAAAUCCUUGAAUAUAAAACAUGGCCAAUUAAUAAGGCCAAACACUAAACUUUUCCAGCCUGGUAGAACCUGAUAGUCAUGAACUUAAUGCUAGCGUUUGCAAACUCCUAUGCUAUCAUGAGAUAGGUACUAAUCCCAAAUUCACCUAGUUAAUUCAUAUGCAAUAAAUGUCAAGGGAAAGGUAAUGAAUGAUAGUCAAAAGCAGCAAAAACUACUAAUAUUUAAAUAAAAUGCAUCAAAAGAAAGAUAAAUUGGAAGGGAAAAACUCAAGCAAAGAUCAUGAACUUAAAUGACAACUUAUACAAAAGAUAGUUUAAAAAUAAUAACUUUCAUUAUUCCAAGAAAACAUAGGAAAGAUAAUUUAAGUCCUCAUCAUUUCUCAGUGUACUUUAGAAUAACCUAAUUGUUCCUUUUGCUUCCACUGACGUUCCUUUUAAAACAGCCUUUUUCACAGCUGCCAGAUUGAUAUUUUUAAAGCAGAGGCUUGACUUUUUUACUCCCUGAUGGAAGAGGUUCCUUAAAUGAAAAUUCCACAGCUUGAUGUUGAAAACCUUCCUAGUUUGGCUUUAGUCUAACCUUCCAGAUAUAAUUCGUAUUACUUUCCUUUAUAUUGUUUAUUCCAGGCAAACUGUCUUAUUUGCUAUUCCAUUAAAAAAAGAUAUUCCUUUUCUUGCCUGUGCUCUGUCAUUCUUCCAUGCCUUGAAUUCAUUUUAUCCUCAUCUCUUAAACUUGGAAUUCUUAGCAUUCUUCAAGGCUCUGAAAAGAAGACAACUAUUACAGGUUAUCUAUUCUGGUCCCCAGGAUUGUUGACAUUUGAUACUUGCUCCAACCACAUAUAACUUUGUUUUUAUAUAUUUAUUUAUUUAUAGUCCUUUCUUCACCCUACAUCUAGUAGAUAUAGGUUCUGGAAUAUUUAAAAAAAAAAUUGUACCCACAAUUCCUAACUCAGGGCCUUAUUCAGUCAACACUUAAUAAAUACUUAUUGAAUUGAACUGAAAUAUCAUUAGUAUGAUUAGAUGACAACUAUUGACUGAAUUGUUUGUACAUUUGAAAUAUAAACAUACACAUUAGAAAAUGCAUCCCAGAAAUUUAAGGUUCAUUAACAUAUUAAAUGAAAACCUUAAAAUUAUUUUUAUAAAGAGAAACAUUUCAAUAAAUUAUUCCUAAUCAUGCUUUAGCUGUCUACAUGAUGAAAAACAAACAUUUGGGCUAAAAAUCAUCUUUCAAUACAGCAGAAAAUAUUUAUUAAAUAAAAUUUUUAAUGAAAUAUUCUUCCAAGUGCAUCCCAUUUUUUUCAUUAAGAUUAUUUCUUCUCAAAUAUGUCACUGUAUAGAUAGAGACUCAAUAAAUUAUUGAAUUAAUGUUGAAAGUUUUUUCCCCCUUCUCUCUCUUUUUAGAGUCAAUCUCCCAAAGCAGCUUUUUAGAUAGAUUCAGGCCGUAAAAAUACUUUCAGUAGGUUUGCCAGUUUCAUAACUAUAAACAGUAGGUGGUAGAGAGUAUCAUUGGUCUAAAGAACAGUGUUGUGGGUCAUCUUUUCAAUUUUUAUUAAAUUUCUUUCUGACCUACAGUCUUGCUUCUUUUAGGAACAAUCUAAUUUCUUUUAGGUCUUGAAAAUCCAUACUGGUGUGUAUCCAACUAACGCCAGAAGCAAAGACAUUUAAAAAACAAAAUACAAUCUCAGAGCAUUCUUAUUGAAAUAUGUAACAUUUACCUUUUUUCAAUAAUUUAUUAUUUACUUUCUAUCAGAAAAAAAUGAGGCAAAUAGCACAUAAAGUUCAUUAUUGUUUGUUAUUUUGUGUCUCAAAAUGAGAAAGCGUAUAAAAUGCCAAUUUGCAUUUCUGUCUUUAGUUGAUACUGGCAUCCCAACAAAGCAUUUCUGGCUGUUGUGACUUUAUGUGGAAUGUGGCUUUUGCUUAAAUGAAAGCUGCAUAUAAAAAGAUCUGUACAGAGCACCUAGAUUUCUUUGGAUUGACUGAUACCAGAAUGUGAGGGUGCUCAAAGUGGUGAGCAGCUCUACAGGGUCAUAAUUUCUGUCAGUGAGAAGCACUCUGCCUACUCUAUCAGUGGCUUAUGCUUUCAAAACUUAAUGGAUACAGUGCUUCUUCCUCCUUUGGUGUCCUUGGUUUCUGAAAAUGGCACUAUGGCUUCUGACCAUACUGCUGUCCAGAACUGUUGACCUAUGAUGAUAGACAAAGGUUUAUGUUGAUCAUAGAUCUUUUCUGCAGAUCAAAAUUCUUUUUUCUAUUUAAAGCCAAAGGGACUAAUUUUCCUGAUUACUUUCUCCUCUCUUGUUCUCUUUUUCCUUAAUUGCCUUGCAUUUAUAUGUACAUAUUUUGUAGAUAUUUAUUUUGAAUUAAUGUAUAGGGGUACUCCUUAUCUACCCCAAUAAAAUAUAAGCUCUUUUAGGGCAAAGAUUGUUUCAUUUAUAUCUUUGCAACUUAAGGAUCUAACAAAAUGACUGAAAAGUACUAGAUUCUUAAUAAUUGUUUAUUGAUUGUCUCUCUAAAUCAAAUAAUCCAAAACAGAGUGUCUAAUGCAAUAUUCCUGCACAACUAUUUUUGUUUUUUGGGGAGAAAGAUAAGUAGGGAAGGAAAGAAGAAAGGAAAGAAAGAAGGAAGGAAGGAAAGAAGGAAGGAAGGAAGGAAGGAAGGAAGGAAGGAAGGAAGGAAGGAAGG